This is a long non-coding RNA of Anguilla rostrata (American eel), 1359 nucleotides long. RefSeq lists it as uncharacterized. The record is from RefSeq and is a predicted model, not a curated record. NCBI's taxonomy places the organism in Eukaryota, Metazoa, Chordata, Actinopteri, Anguilliformes, Anguillidae. The transcript has 2 exons.
CGGGCGGAAAGUUCGCUGAACCAGACCACAACAUUAAUGAAAAUUAUCUUACGCUGCACAGUACUCGCGUUUUUGAUUAAACUUGAGGUGGAGAUAAUGAUGUCAUGGUCCUGUUGUGGAGAUCCUGGUUGUAAGCACGGGAGAGGAGACACGUGCCGUUGCCUGAUAACCCCCUUCAGGAGACACGUGGAGCCAAAGACGUCGCUGGCCAUCACCUGGCAACCAAACUGAGGGAUGCCUUUUAUUCAGGAUGCCGAGGACUGUCGCAGAGCAGCAUUAUUAAAAAGAUCCAGGACUAUGUAUAGAUAAUGUGUAUCUUUUUCUCUUAGUCUGCUGUGUACUGUCUGUUGACCCUGAUGACACUGUCAACUCUGUGCUUACCACUUUUUCUAUAACAUGCUUGCUAGAUCAUCUGCGAUACACACUACUUCUGUUUAGUUAUAGAAAAUUAUUUGGGAAGUGAGUGCAGGUUGUAACAGAGUCAGUGAACCCCCAAGAUUUGAACCCAGGACCCAUACUCUGGUGUUUAAUCUGGUUUGUGCCGGUACAAAACAGCACCACAGGGUGUAUGUCACUCAAGGAAUUUCAGUUGGCAGGAUGUCCGUAUCUCCUCAGACAUCAGCAGUUGGUUGACAUGCGUUUCAGAAAAAUGUGUGCUCCUCCUCACUGCUCCCUCCUUACAUCUUACAUCUUACCCCAUACCUCCUUCUUUGUGCAAGAACUUUCAAUUCACAAUGGCAUUAGAUUACCCUGUAGUAGAAUGGUAGUCUACUACAUGUAUUCAUAAAAGAGGAUACAAAGCAGUUCUCUGACUGGAGUGCAGAACUGACAUAACUGUCAGCAAUCUUUGAAUGUGAGCCAACUCUUCUGCUCAGCAUUGUACACGUGCAUCACUGACAUAAUGCCCUGUUGUCAGACAGACACAAGGCAGAGAUCAGAACAGUGAUUUCUUAUCUUCAUACUCCUGUCUGUCCUACCAGAGCCUCUGCUGUUUCCGAUGUGAGACUAUAGCAGCUUGCUGGGGGGGGGGGGGGGGAAUGCUUGCACUCAGAAACAGGCCACAGCAUCUUCACACAAGCCUAGAAACUAAUAUGUCAGCCUGCCAUGGUCUUAUCCCUCCUCCUACUCUCACUCCCUCUGUCUUGUCCUCUCCUCUGCCUCCCUUUCCUCCUACCUCUAUCUGUAGAAUGUCCUUCACAAAAAGCCAAACAGAACCCCAGAGCAACAGGCAACAGCCUAUCAGUAAUUUCGUACGAUUCCAAAAGCUCAACCUGGUUUUGCUGCACUGGGAAUUAAUACUAUAUAAACUAUAAAUUAUUUAUAUAUAAAUACAUAUAAUAUAUGUUUAUAGUUGAUAUA